This 253-nucleotide ribosomal RNA is filed under the name uncultured bacterium. RNAcentral describes it as "partial 16S ribosomal RNA". It matches the Rfam family "Bacterial small subunit ribosomal RNA", at positions 524 to 776 of the family's 1533-position model. The record is from RNAcentral.
UACAGAGGGUGCGAGCGUUAAUCGGAAUUACUGGGCGUAAAGCGCGCGUAGGCGGCUUUGCAAGUCGAGUGUGAAAUCCCCAGGCUUAACCUGGGAACUGCAUUCGAGACUGCAUAGCUAGAGUAUGGGAGAGGGGGAUGGAAUUCCGCGUGUAGCAGUGAAAUGCGUAGAUAUGCGGAGGAACACCAAUAGCGAAGGCAGCUCGCUGGGACGGUAUUGACGCUAAGGCGCGAAAGCGUGGGGAGCAAACGGG